GGCCGUAUGGUCUAGUAGUAUGAUUCUCGCUUUGGGAGAGUCGCAAAAGCUCGGAAUUGCGAGAGGUCCUGGGUUCAAUUCCCAGUGCGGCCC
Non-coding RNA from Malassezia psittaci, 93 nucleotides. The record is from the annotation of a GenBank genome assembly. NCBI's taxonomy places the organism in Eukaryota, Fungi, Basidiomycota, Malasseziomycetes, Malasseziales, Malasseziaceae.